AAGUUUUAGAAGGAAGACCUGAAAUUGUGAGUGAAAACUACAUGUUGUGUUACUGAUAAAUAGGACCUGUGAGGUCCAUUUGUGAUUCAGUGAAACUGCUUUCAUGCUAUUUUUUGAAUGAGAAUAAUAUUUGUUGAUUUUUGAGAUUCGGUCAUGAGCAAGACACACAGGUCAGAGCUGUUUACUCCCUCUGGAAACCUUAAAAGGUCUAGAAGGAAAGCUCUGAUUCUGUACAGAGAGAACCAGUUGGGUCAAAUCAUUGAUAAUAUAGUUUGUUCAAGAGAUAGGAGAGGAGUUCCCUUGUGGCACCGAAGGCUAAAGAUCCGGCAUUGUCACUGCAGUGGCAUUGGGUUGCUGCAGUGGCACAGGUUCAGUCCCUGGCCUGGGAACAUCCACAUGCCAUGGCUCGGCCAAAAAUUAAAUUAAAAAAGGAGAGAGAGAUAGGAUGGAAUUCCAUAUGGCUUUGUAGUUGGAAGUGUCAAUUGUUGUGGUUCUCAUUUAAUGAAAGAGUAAAUAACGGGGUUCAACCAGGAGCGCUGUGCCAUGUGCCGAACCUCACUGUGACCUCCUGCCCUUUCCCGAAGGUGUUCAUUUAGUGAGCUGAGGUUUCCUCCUGGAACCUUUGUAUGAUAAACGCAUCACAUCGCCAGAAUUAAGAGAGAGCAUUUUGUUAAGUCCAUUUGAUGAAUGACUUAAUUUGCAACAGAUGCAUUAUCAGGUUAUUUUCUGACCUCGAAAUUUAUUUAUUUAUUUAUUUUUCAUUUUGUAGUAGCAGAUAAUUUGUCCUUAAAAUCUGUUAAGUAAUAGGAUAAAUGUCAUUAAUGAUUGUUUUAAUAUUAAAUUUGGGGAAAAAAAUGACUGGAUCCUAGGCAGGUCAUUUUCCUUUUACCAGAAUGUAGUAGGUGGUAUUUAAACUUCUUCUCUGCUCCUGUAUUAGCUUGGCCUGCCAUUGACUGGUGGCUCAAACACAACAGACAUUUAUUUUUCGUAGUCUGAAGCCUGGGAAUUCCAAGAUCAAGACGCUGGCAAGGUAGGUUUCAUUCUGAGGUCUCUUCUCUUGGCUUGUAAGGAGUUGCCAUCUCCCUGUGUGGUCACAGGUUGUCUUUGUGCAUGCUUGUGUGUGUGAGCAAACUCCCUGUUGUCUCUUAUAAGUCUUGAGUGUCUCUCUCUUUUUUUCAUUUUGACUGCCCCACGGCAUAUGGAGUUGAUGGGCCAGGGACCCGAUCUGAGCCGCGGUUGCGACCUGUGCCAUAGCUGCUGGAUCCUUUAACCGCCUGUGUCAACCUGGGAACUGGACCUACAUCUUGGCCCUGCACCACGGGGCAGGUUCCUGAGUGUCUCUUACAAGGGCCCCAGUCCCAUCGUGAGGCCCCCACCCUCAUGACUCCUUCCAACCCUGAUUACCUCCCAAGGGCCUCAUCUCCAAAUACCGUUUCUUUGGGUGUUAGGGCUUCAACAUAAAUAAACUUUGGGGGGACCCAAACAUUCAAUCCAUAGUAACCGCCGAAAUUGAUCUGAGGUUUAGAGAAAGCUUACAGAAUAGAUUUCCACUGUAUAUGGGGAGUUUAAAUACUCCAUUAGCUAAAUAUCAUUUGUUAGGUCACUUUAUGAUUCUUUUAAACCAAGAUAUCUGUUCAUGCAUAUGAAAAAAUAUAUGAGUGCUUUUCACUCUAAAAGGUCUUUGUACAUUAAUUGGUAAACUUUAGAUAUGAGUACUGAUUUGCCUCUGAUACAUAUUUGAUAACUCAGUUUAUAUUCAUUGAGCAAAGAGAUGUUUUAUCUAACAAUUACAAUUUACAUCCACUUGUUUAGCCCCACCGUAAUUUUAUAUGCAAUCGUGAUAACCCGAGGGAUCUCCCUCAUUUGAUGCUUCCUUACCCAAGACACACACACUCACUGCACGCUCACAGAGGGCCUUCUUUACCGCUUGAACGGCCGGGCUUUGAGGUUUCCACCUUCUCAGCCACACAGGCCCAGGCUGAGUGUAGUACGUGGCCUUCCCUUCUUAGGCCUUGUACCUCUUUGGGCUACUGUCAGUGUGUCCUGUAGCUGCUUAUGCCCUCAGGAAAAUCGCAGUAUUUUAAAGGUGCUGGCAAAGUGCCUGAUGGAUGUAUAUAUAUAUAUAUAUUUUUUUGUCUUUUUGCCUUUUCUAGAGCCGCACCCACGACAUGUGGAGGUUCCCAGGCUAGGGGUCGAAUCAGAGCUGUAGCCGCCAGCCUAUGCCAGAGCCACAGCAAUGCGGGAUCUGAGCCGCAUCUGCAACCUACACCACAGCUCACGGCAACGCCGGAUUGUUAACCCACUGAGCAAGGACAGGGAUGAAACCCGCAACCUCAUGGUUCCUAGUCGGAUUCGUUAACCACUGCGCCACGACGGGAACUCCAUCCCUUCAGUACAUUUUUUGAAGCACUUCGACUUAAUGGAGGGAGAGGCAGUUGUGUAGACGUUACAUAAUAGGGUUGUGAAUAUUAGAGAAAAAUAAAUUCUCUUCGUAUGAUUCCUAGCACACACCAAUGUCAAAUACUCUAUUCUCCAAGGAAGCCGUCUUUCCUCUGGAGCUAAUAUGUAGAAUUGCUCAGGAUUUUAACCCUCGGUGCAUCAUGUUAAUGAAUUUGGUUCCAUGUGAGGCAUCUGCAUUCCAGGCGUGAGUGGAUGAGUGAAGAGAGGAGGGUGAGUGGUAGACAGGUAGGAGGGCAAGUCUGGAUAGUGGGCCUUUGGGAACCUCUUAAAAAAUCACACUGUGGAGCGCCUCCUCCUUCCGUCUCUAGAUAGGGCUGGCGCUGAAAGCACCUGGUUAUUUGCAGAAACGAGGACCAUGGAGCUCUUGCUGUGGUGCAGUGGGUUCAGUAUCUGACUGGAGUAGCUGGGGUCACUGUGGAGUUGCAGGUUUGAUCCCUGGCCAGCACAGCAGGUUAAGGGACCUGGGGUUGCUGCAGGUGCCUCAUAGGUCACAGCUGCCGCUCAGAUUCAGUCUCUAGCCGGGGAACAUUUAAUGCGGCCAUUAAAAAAGAAAGACAGACGUGAGGACCAGAUAGCGUAAUGCUGGAUUUUCAUGAAGUGUCCUUUAUGAUGGGCUUCGGCAGGUUCUGAGAAUACUCCUCCGGUUGAAGAUUAUUUUCUGCUUAAGAGGUAAUGAUUUGGUAAUAAAUGUCGGUAUAGUGGGAAAAAUGUUGAUGUGGAUGCAUUUGAAUCGAAAACAAAUGGUCAAGGCUGUGGCGCGCCUUCUUCCUUCGUUAGGCCCCAACGCCAAGGCGGUGUUUCCAGUGACAGCCAGCGCGGCACUGAGCGCAGAUUCUCCAGAUGCCCACGCCGCAGGUUUGACGUGCUGUUGACUGGAUUUGGGUCUUUGACUGGGCAUUUAGGAGGCUGUGGGCUAAGAUUUUUAUCAUUGAUUUAUACCUCGCUUCAUGUAGGUUUGGUUUCUUUCUUUUUUCGGAUUUUUCCUCUCUCUUUCUUUCUCUUUCUUUCUUUCUUUCUUUUGGGGGGGCUUUUUUUUGGGUUUUUUUUUUUUUUUGUCUUUUUGCCUUUUCAAGGGCAACACCCGUGGCACAUGGAGGUUCCCAGGCUAGGGUUCCAAUCGGAGCUGUAGCCGCCAGCCUAUGCCAGAGCCACAGCAAUGCGGGAUCCGAGCUGUGCAACCUACACCACAGCUCACGGCAAUGCCGGAUCCUAAGCCACUGAGCGAGGCCAGGGAUCCAACCCACAACCUCGUGGUUCCCAGUCGGAUUUGUUAACCACUGAGCCCUGACGGGACCUCCCUGGGGGGGUGCUUUUUAGGGCCGCACCCAUGACAUAUGGAGGUUCCCAGGCUAGGGGUCAAAUCGGAGCUAUAGCUGCUGGCCAAUACCACAGCCACAGCAGUGCGGGAUCUGAGCCAUGUCUGUGACCUGCACCACAGCUCACGGUAAUGCCAGAUCCUUAACCCCCUGAGCAAGGCCAGGGAUCAAACCCACAACCUCAUGGUUCGUAGUCAAAUUCGUUUCUGCUGCGCCACGACGGAAACUCCAGGUUUGAUUUCUUUGAUCAGUGAGUCAUGUUUAUUUUCCUUGCUGUUAAGUUGAAUUGCAGUACCUUUAAAGUGGCGUUUUAAAGUUUAUGUUGGGCAAUACGAGUAGUUUAUCGGAUUCAACCUCGGUUUAUCCUGGAACUGACAGUAUAGUAUGUAGAGUACAGUGAAUCAGUCAUUUAUGCUAGUCUAGAAAACAGUUGGUUUUCAGAUUUGUUUAUUUAACCUUUUUAUUGGUGGUUAAAUGAAUAUCUCAGUGCUCGGAAUGCUUAAUAUAACUAUAAAAAUGCUGGCCAGAGCAGUGUCAUUUUCUCUAACUAAUCUCAAAAGAUCUUAAGUCUUUGAACCAUUUUAAAAAAGUUCUACAGAGAUGAGGUCAAUACAGCAUGAUGUACGUUGUCAGGAUAGAACACACUCAGAGCUGUACUACUUCACAUUAGGGAGUUUAACAGUUCAGUGGUUGAAUAACUUGGUUUUGUUUUGUUUCCCUGGGAAAGUUAAAAGGAGAUGUAAAAUAGUAUUUAAAAUAGCAAGCCAGCUUCUCAGUCAUAUCAGUUCUUUUCUGUUUCAGGUCAGCUGCAGGAUGCUAGGACAAAAUAGGCCGGGCUGGUCCCUCUUACAAGGAGAAACGGGUCUGAUAAACAUCCUUGCUUUUGGUUAACGCAGAAGAUGACCAGGGUGCCGAGGAGAGCGAUGCAAUAACACACAAGCAGACCUGCUUUUCCUGCUGCUCCCAGGGAGGCUCCACCGCCAGGGCCAGAGACUAGUUUGGUCUUCUUGAUAUUGUGGCUCCAGAGGAUUCAGUCUUCGGAUUGGCUACUUCAAUUCUGUGAAGUCACGAACUGUGUCUAGUUUCAGUUUCCCUGUACUUUCGUGGGUAAUAGGCAGGAUGGCGGUAGCUUUGAGCACAUCACUAGAGAGGAGUUAAAAAUCGAUUUUUCUUGAGGCAGUGACUUGUAUGGCAGAUAGUUGAUAGCAAAAUUAAAUUUGGGGUUUAUGUUUCAAAUACUAAAUCUGAAUUUCACUAAAGAAUAUUUAAGAAAAAAAUGAAAUAGUUUCCGCUUGAAAAUAACAUAAACAUUUUGUCUGGGUGUGCUGUUGAAAUAGUUUCUAGAUAAAAUUCAAUGUAUGGUAAUGUGAAAAUAGUGUCACUUGUUUUAGCUGUGUUUUUGGUGGAGUAACUGAGGCAGACUGGGUUAUGGGUUACAGUGAUACUAGUUAGAGUCUCCUUCAGCUAAGAUCAUGAAUAGAUCAGGCUAAUGCUAAGAAUUGAUUAUGCUUUUAAAUCUUAGUAUUAAAAUAUUCCAAAUAGGUUUGGUAAGUUUUGCAUGUCGCUAACUUUGAAUGUAGAUAUACUUCAUUACAUUUCUUUUUGCAUAUAUACCAUGUAUACACUUUUCAGUGUCUGCUUUUCAUGCUUGAGUUUUCUUUUAGCUCAUAACACCAGUAGCUACCAUUAACUUCGCACAGAAAAAGCAUUAGCAGAUUGAAAUAAGUUUUAACUGUUGCUCUGUUCUUUUUCGCAUUACUUUACGCAGAGCCCUUCUACCCAAUGAGUUGCAAGCGUGACAUUUGCUGUGUUUUCAGCACCUGCCAACUUGGAAACCAGGGUUUGUGCUCAGGACUCAGGCUUACAACCCACACUUUGUGGUGCACAAUGCGGUCCCAGCUGGCAUGCUUCUUACCUCAAUGGUGCUAGACGUUCGGUUACAAAGCUGUGCAGAUCCACAUGCGCUCAUUUCAAUAGGCGUCCCCUUCAAGCUGCUUUCAACUCUCACUUUGACUCAAAGGAGUUAGAUUGGUAUCAUUAAAUUCACUGCUUUGCUUAUUCUUCAGUGGAAAUAAAUUCAUUUUACUUAGCUCUUGAAUCAAAAAAUAACUGUCUUCAGGAUCCAGAGUACCUCUUUUAAAAGGUGUGUGUCCAUGGGAGAAAGAUUUCUGUGUCUGUGUAUGUAGAUCUAUGUGAGCUUCCAGCCAGAGCGCUGACUCAUUUUCAUCGGUGGAAAGGUUUCAGGACAGAACGUAAAAAAAGCAGAAAGGAAAGGUCGGAAGGAUUAGUAUGUCAUAACAUGCUUAUGUAGGUAGGGCUGUUAGUUAUAGCUGGAUCAUAGCUGUGGGAAAACAAUUAUAGAACUUAGUUUUCUCAAUAAGAUCUGCAUAAGAAAAUGGCCCUCAUGGUAGGUUCAGAUUUUUUGGCUUGCAUCUAUAACCAAAACCCUCACAUAGUUUUUGAAGAAGUGUAUCUUGCUAACUUGUUUUCAGUAGGCAGUCUCUUUGAAAAUGCUUCAGGUGAUAUGUCUUCCCAGCAUCUAUUAUGAGCAAUUUUAAAAGGUUCUGCUUUAAAAAGAUCUUUUCAGAUGUAGAAAGGACAGUGUGAAAUGUGAAUGACUGGCUUUUAAUACAGCAGUUGUGACAAAGAGGCAGUGGCUUUUGGGAGCUGAAUAAUGGGGUUAAUACACAUGCAUCUGCAUACUGCUGUUAGGGCCAAUUGAGAACACGUUUGAUGUUUGUUUCACUCACAUCGUUGGUCUGAAAAGAAUAUUAUUCUCAGAAACAAACCAGUUUGCCAUUUUUUAGUGCUGAACUCUAUUUACCAUCAUAGGUACAGACAGAUUUGAUGGGAAAAACUGAAUAGUAUUGACUGAUAGUUGUUCAAACUUCAAAAUUUAGCUCCUUGUUGUUUGAACAUCAUGUUUAUCUGAUUCCAAAGGCACAAAAAAUAGGAAUUCCCACUAUGGUGCAGCAGGUUAAGGAUAUGGCGUUGCCACAGCUGUGGCGUAAGUUGCAGUUGUGGCUCAGAUUUGAUCCCUGGCCAGAAACUUCCAUGUGCCUUGGGUGUGGCCAAAAAC
RNAcentral lists this long non-coding RNA (6855 nucleotides) under Sus scrofa (pig). RNAcentral's name for it is "lncRNA (ENSSSCG00025029308.1)". The record is from RNAcentral. Lineage: Eukaryota; Metazoa; Chordata; Mammalia; Artiodactyla; Suidae.